This 2666-nucleotide long non-coding RNA is filed under the name Nicotiana tabacum (common tobacco). Its description in RNAcentral is "long non-coding RNA (NTAB_LNC012148)". Lineage: Eukaryota; Viridiplantae; Streptophyta; Magnoliopsida; Solanales; Solanaceae. The record is from RNAcentral.
GGAUAUUUAAGUUUUUAAUGAUAUUAUUAGGCAAUUUAUAUAUAUUUGCACAAAACACUCGAUUGGGUGUUCUUUUGUGAUAUCACAUUGUAGUUUUUUGAUUUGGUAAAUAGAAACUUUUCUCUUGAUACUCUAAGAGACCUGGGCUUUGAUCCGAAAUGGAUCAAUCGGAAAAAACGAAUGCAUCUCGACUGCUUCUUUCUGUAAAAAUAACACGGGCUGGUCAGUUUUCGGACUGGUCAUUCAAAAAUAGUCAGUGUUUGUCAAGUCAUUGAAAAAUAGCUACUAUUUUGCUGCAACAGAGACCGGUUCAACAUAAUAUACUGGAGUUCGAUGCACCUAUGUAUGAACUUCCAGCAUAUUAUGCUGGAACUCCAACACACGAAAAGUUCCAGCAUAAUAUACUAGAGAUUCGAGCACUUGUGUAUGAACUUCCAAUAUAUUAUAUUGGACCGGUAUACUUGUCACACCCUUUUUUUUUUUUUACCAAACCUCACCAAACCCUCUUAAAAUUAAUUAAAGAUUUAGUAAAGCUUGAAAAGGGUUUUCCAAUUAGAACGUGACAAAAAUUGUAUUUAAAAGGAAAAUAACUCAGAGUCGUCACCUGACAUUUGAUUUCGGUGUGUUAGGUCACCGUUUUUCUAAAAAUAAUAAUUUUCCUUUCAUAAUACUUUGAACUCUAAAACCAAGUCUACACCAGAGAUUAGGGUAAGAGAGUUCAUUUGACUCGGGGAGAAGGUGUUAGGCACUCCCCAAGUCCCGUAACUAGUACAGUUGCGUACUCGAUCUAGUUGGAUUUCAAAACAUUCAAAUUGAGAUAAAACACACAGAAAUAAAAUAAACACACCAAAGGCUCGAGGUCGUCCCCACCUAAAUGAAAGAAAAUGAAAAGGAAAGGAAAAGAAAAAUCCUAAGCUAACCUAUACUACGACUUCUCCACCAUGCUCGCCAAGGCCUAAAUAUUUACAUAGUUCUUCGGGGCAUACCCCGGAUAAUAAUAUAUACACAUUUCGCGGGGCAUUCUCCGGAUAAAUUUAACUAAGAAAACGACCUCUUGCCUCGAAAUAAAAUGAACUAAAGAAAACCUAAGAUUUGCCUACCCGAGUGUGGUCGGAUUAAGCAUGCUACUAGCGCAUAACAAAACAAAAACUAACAAAAACGAAAUAGAACUAUUAUCAUGUCACAUUAAUCCAACUCUAUUUUUCUUUCAAUUUCCAAUCCCACACCCCCUUUGAUUUAACUUAAUUCGUUGGUUCACUCUUUCAUUUAAUUGAGUCAUGAGACAGCACAAAUCAAACCACGUGAAUUAAGAUAAGUCCCGAAUUUUCAACAAUGACACAUAUAUGAACUUUAUAUUUCUUAAAAAACAGAGCAUCAUCAGAAGCAUGUCAACAAAAAUCACAUAAUAAAAUUAAGGGAUUCAAAGAAAGAGAAAAGGGAUUGGACCUUUUUAUAGCAAUACGUUUUGGAACAAUGAAUAAGAAACAUCCGGCAAAGCUACGAUGACGACCUCGAUGCACCGGACCUCGAGGAACUCGAACGGGCUUUAGCGGAAUUCAAACCUGACUGAGACGCGGCUACUGCUGUUCGUUUUCCAGUGAGUUGGGUGUUCUUUGGUGGAGUUGCGAUGGCUACUGGUUUGAUGAUGGGAGAGGGUUGGUUGCUUGUGAGUUUUCUUUAUGUUGUUCCAAGGUAUGAAGGUGGAGACGGCUAAUGGUUUAGGGUGAUGGGGACGGAUGAAGGGAGGAGGAGCAGUGGCUGGUUCUGGCGACGGAGCUGGCUGGUUCCGGCGAGCUAGUUUUGUCAAAGAUGAAUGGUCGUCGGUUUUGGAUUGAAGAAGGGGUGUCCGGUGGGUUUGAGUUGAAGAAGGAAGGCAGAAACGGUUGUUGGUAUUAGGGUAUGUUCAGAGGAAGUUUAGGUGGUCCCGUGGCUGACGUUUUCUGGCGAGCUGCUGGGAGCGGAGCGGCGACGGAACUGGAGUGAGGAGAUGACUGGAGAGCUACUGGAUGGUGGCUUGGAAGGCAGCGGCGGAAGUGUGUGUCCAACUAGGGUUCAACUAGUCUAAUUUCCAUGAAGAAGAAGGGUUCUCUUUUUGGUUUUUGAAGAAGAAGACUCGAUGGGGGGCUGGCCUUUUGUUUUCAGCGGCUGUUUCAGAUGGUUGUUCUCUUUUGGAAGAUCCAAAUUUCAAAUGGGUGUUGUGGCUGAUGAUUAGAGGUGUCUAGGGUUUUUCUAUGGUUUUUUCUCCAUUGUUGUCUUGUUGAAGAAGAUGAAGUAGCUCCUAUGGGGUUUUUAGGUCUUUCUAGGGUUCUGUCUAGGUUUGGGCUAUUGGGUUAGUGGGCUAAGGGAAAUUUCGAAAAUGGACCUAAAAUUGGACCUAUCAAGACACAAAACUAGCCCAAAAUUCAUUCUUCUUUUCCGAGGGUAAAAUAAAAGUAUCACAAAUAAUAAAAUAUAAUUAACAAUUGACUUCAACUGAAAUGCAGUUAAAACGAAAUUAUUUUUAUAUUUUUAAAGAUUAUACUAAAAAAUAGAAUAAUUAGAUUAAAAUCAUCGUAAAAUUAAAAUAAUAUUACUACCAAAACACUAAUAUCCUUGAAAACAAAGUUAAACUAUUUUUUGUAUUUUUGAAUUUUAUGAAAGAUAGAUGAACUAAAGUAACUAGAUAA